Molecule: ribosomal RNA, 258 nt
Filed under: uncultured bacterium
Lineage: Bacteria
Description: partial 16S ribosomal RNA
Rfam family: Bacterial small subunit ribosomal RNA
Source: RNAcentral
UGGCGGACGGGUGAGUAACGCGUGGGGAACCUGCCCUGUGCAGGGGGAUAACACUUAGAAAUAGGUGCUAAUACCGCAUAAGCGCACAGUAUCGCAUGAUACAGUGUGAAAAACUCCGGUGGUACAGGAUGGACCCGCGUCUGAUUAGCUGGUUGGCGGGGUAACGGCCCACCAAGGCGACGAUCAGUAGCCGGCCUGAGAGGGUGAACGGCCACAUUGGGACUGAGACACGGCCCAAACUCCUACGGAAGGCAGCAG